UUUCCCUUUGGGGGGGCGGGGAGGGUCGCUCUCUUAAUGAAACUGCGAAAGUGAAACUGCAGAUGGGCCGGGCUGCCCUCUCGGCGUCCAUAUUGGUUUCGCACCCUCCGAAGUUCCUCAGGCGACCUGUGAACCUGGCCGCGGUAGGCCGAUGGCCGAGGAGCGCCUCGAGGAAGGGACGGUAGGCGGCGGGUGUAACCCGCAAAGGAACUGAAGAAGGGGGCUUGUCGUGGGCCGAGCGUGGGGACAGACCGUGCCUGCAAGGCGGCGGGGGAGGUGAGGAGCCUCUGAACGUCCAAGUCCAGCGCGCAGGUCAGCCCGCGCUCCCCUUCUCUCCAUGAGCUCUUCUCACAGCGCCUCGUCCAGGUCACUCUGGCUGCAGUAUGAAGAACAGACUACAGGGAAGAUUAGGAUGGUCAUGGAAGACCAUAUAGGAGACUACUGCAGUGGUGCCAAUAUAAGCUGAGGUGGUGUGCAAGAAAAAUGCUGCAGUGCCAGGAUGUUUAAGGAAUAAUGCUUCUGGAUAUGUGCAGAAGUAGCUGAAGAGCGGGGAAAUACUCAUUUGAAAAAUUCCUUAACCUUGGCUGAGACCUAAACAGCAGCCCAAUCACAGGUGUGAUUCCAGCAGUUCUCAUGGCCACCUUCCUUCCAUCAGACCUGGUACUCUUCAGGGAGAAUUUGAAGAGUCCUCACUAUGGAGCACAUGAAAAGAAAUGCUUGCAGUUCUGCUAUGGCCCUUUAUCUAGUAAAUAGACUCUAGUAAGUUGAUUUUGCUCAAGCCUGGUGAACAGGCCCUACUUAGAACUUCUUUUCCUCUUGAUUUUAGGUACUGCCUCUGUUAAGUCAUCUCAGGACAGAGGUCUUGCUGAACUCCUGUUUUUGCUCCCUCGGCCAUACCAUAUCCAUUAAGACUCCCUGCCCAGAUCUCUACCUAUUGUAUACCUAUUUCCUUCUUUUCCUCCUUCACGCUCAUUUUGUCCACUGUAGGGCAUCCACUGACAGAAACCACCUGCUUACUUGAGCCUCUGCCUAAUGGCUGUUGGCUCCUUCGGUGUACUACUGGCCAAGGCAGAUUUUGUUCCUGCUGGAGAAUCAUUGGAUCAACAGCAUGCUGUCUGUAUUAACUCUGUCAGGUCUAUGGGUCCUUCCAAAUCUAUCCAUCUUGCCAAAAACAAAACUCUAUUUGUGGGAUCUCUAAUCUGUUGAUGUCAGAAUCUUCUUCUCAAUUCCUUUUGUGGCCAUUGAUGCCAGCUAAUAAAUUAACUCCUUGUCCCUAUUCUAUGAGGGCAGAGGUGGGUGACAUAAUUGACAUGACUUAACAUUACCAUUGGAGAAUUUUCACAUCUGUCCAUGUGGGGAGCCUGGGAAAUUAUUCAUACAGAAGAUGCUUCUUGUUUUUGAAUGGAGGGAGAGGUCAACUGACCAUCUCAAUUCAUGCUUAAAAAGCCAAAAUGAACUCAUUUAACCUGAAAUAAUAAAAUUAUUUAUAAAAUUGUAUUGAUAUCUAAGCCUUUAGUGUUUAAACAUUUUUCAGCACCUGUGAAGAGAUAAAGAUGUCCACAGAAAGCAGAAAAUAUAAAAGUCAAUUCUCUGACUAGAGUGGAAGACUGCAUUAUUUGAGAUUCUCUUGCCUGUCUCCAAUAAAACUGAAGACAUGUAAAAAUAACCUCUUAUUUGCAUAUAAAAUAGCUACAUAAAAUUGGUCUAUGGCUUAUCUUAUGCUGUAAACACAAGGA
This is a long non-coding RNA of Canis lupus familiaris (dog), 1736 nucleotides long. RefSeq lists it as uncharacterized. Lineage: Eukaryota; Metazoa; Chordata; Mammalia; Carnivora; Canidae. The transcript has 4 exons. The record is from RefSeq and is a predicted model, not a curated record.